This 253-nucleotide ribosomal RNA is filed under the name uncultured bacterium. RNAcentral's name for it is "partial 16S ribosomal RNA". It matches the Rfam family "Bacterial small subunit ribosomal RNA", at positions 524 to 776 of the family's 1533-position model. The record is from RNAcentral.
UACGAAGGGGGCUAGCGUUGUUCGGAAUCACUGGGCGUAAAGGGCGCGUAGGCGGCCGAUCAAGUCGGGGGUGAAAGCCUGUGGCUCAACCACAGAAUUGCCUUCGAUACUGUUUGGCUUGAGACCGGAAGAGGUUAGUGGAACUGCGAGUGUAGAGGUGAAAUUCGUAGAUAUUCGCAAGAACACCAGUGGCGAAGGCGGCUGACUGGUCCGGUUCUGACGCUGAGGCGCGAAGGCCAGGGGAGCAAACGGG